This 252-nucleotide ribosomal RNA is filed under the name uncultured bacterium. RNAcentral's name for it is "partial 16S ribosomal RNA". It matches the Rfam family "Bacterial small subunit ribosomal RNA", at positions 524 to 776 of the family's 1533-position model. The record is from RNAcentral.
UACGUAGGGGCCAAGCGUUGUCCGGAAUCAUUGGGCGUAAAGGGCGUGUAGGCGGUCUGAUAAGUCAGAUGUUAAAUCUACGAGCUCAACUCGUAGCCGCAUCUGAUACUGUCAGGCUAGAGAAUGGUAGAGGAAAGCGGAACUUCCGGUGUAGCGGUGAAAUGCGUAGAUAUCGGAAGGAACACCAGUGGCGAAGGCGGCUUUCUGGGCCAUUUCUGACGCUGAGACGCGAAAGCUAGGGGAGCGAACGGG